RNAcentral lists this transfer RNA (85 nucleotides) under Felis catus (domestic cat). It matches the Rfam family "tRNA". Rfam says of the family: Transfer RNA (tRNA) molecules are approximately 80 nucleotides in length. Their secondary structure includes four short double-helical elements and three loops (D, anti-codon, and T loops). Further hydrogen bonds mediate the characteristic L-shaped molecular structure. tRNAs have two regions of fundamental functional importance: the anti-codon, which is responsible for specific mRNA codon recognition, and the 3' end, to which the tRNAs corresponding amino acid is attached (by aminoacyl-tRNA synthetases). tRNAs cope with the degeneracy of the genetic code in two manners: having more than one tRNA (with a specific anti-codon) for a particular amino acid; and 'wobble' base-pairing, i.e. permitting non-standard base-pairing at the 3rd anti-codon position. The record is from Rfam by way of RNAcentral. Lineage: Eukaryota; Metazoa; Chordata; Mammalia; Carnivora; Felidae.
GCCUGGGUGGCUCAGUUGGUUAAGCAUCCGACUUUGACUCAGGUCAUGAUCUCGUGGUUCGUGAGUUCAAACCUCGUGUCAGGCU